Molecule: ribosomal RNA, 484 nt
Filed under: uncultured bacterium
Lineage: Bacteria
Description: bacterial SSU rRNA
Rfam family: Bacterial small subunit ribosomal RNA
Source: RNAcentral
GAUGAACGCUAGCGGGAGGCUUAACACAUGCAAGUCGAGGGGCAGCAUAGGGUAGCAAUACUCUGAUGGCGACCGGCAAACGGGUGAGUAACGCGUAUGCAACCUACCCUGUACAGGGGGAUAACCCGGAGAAAUUCGGACUAAUAUCCCGUAAUAAUAUCCGGAGGCAUCUUUGGAUAUUUAAAGUUCCGACGGUACGGGAUGGGCAUGCGUAACAUUAACUGGUUGGUAAGGUAACGGCUUACCAAGGCUAUGAUGUUUAGGGGUCCUGAGAGGGUGGUCCCCCACACUGGUACUGAGACACGGACCAGACUCCUACGGGAGGCAGCAGUGAGGAAUAUUGGUCAAUGGGCGCAAGCCUGAACCAGCCAUCCCGCGUGCAGGAAGACGGCCCUAUGGGUUGUAAACUGCUUUUCCAGGGAGAGAAACUUACGCACGUGUUGCGUGACUGACGGUACCUGGAAUAAGCAUCGGCUAACUCGUG